GACCUUCUCAGGUCACACCUGGAGAGUUUUCAGUACUCUACCAGUCUUGGCUAUAGGAGGAAGAGUCAGGCAGAGGCAUCCCGAUUCCAUUCCUAGCUUGGUCAGUGGCUAGCAAGUAGAAGGCAAUAUGCCACAAGU
Molecule: small nucleolar RNA, 138 nt
Organism: Ornithorhynchus anatinus (platypus)
Lineage: Eukaryota; Metazoa; Chordata; Mammalia; Monotremata; Ornithorhynchidae
Source: RefSeq, a predicted model, not a curated record